CCGGAAGACCAAGGGUUCCUGUCCAACGUUAAUCGGGGCAGGGUGAGUCGACCCCUAAGGCGAGGCCGAAAGGCGUAGUCGAUGGGAAACGGGUUAAUAUUCCCGUACUUGGUGUUACUGCGAAGGGGGGACGGAGAAGGCUAUGUUGGCCGGGCGACGGUUGUCCCGGUUUAAGCGUGUAGGUGUGUGUUCCAGGUAAAUCCGGUUCACUUUAACACUGAGGCGUGACGACGAGGCACUACGGUGCUGAAGCAACAAAUGCCCUGCUUCCAGGAAAAGCCUCUAAGCAUCAGGUAACAUCAAAUCGUACCCCAAACCGACACAGGUGGUCAGGUAGAGAAUACCAAGGCGCUUGAGAGAACUCGGGUGAAGGAACUAGGCAAAAUGGUGCCGUAACUUCGGGAGAAGGCACGCUGACACGUAGGUGAAGUGAUUUACUCAUGGAGCUGAAGUCAGUCGAAGAUACCAGCUGGCUGCAACUGUUUAUUAAAAACACAGCACUGUGCAAACACGAAAGUGGACGUAUACGGUGUGACGCCUGCCCGGUGCCGGAAGGUUAAUUGAUGGGGUCAGCGCAAGCGAAGCUCCUGAUCGAAGCCCCGGUAAACGGCGGCCGUAACUAUAACGGUCCUAAGGUAGCGAAAUUCCUUGUCGGGUAAGUUCCGACCUGCACGAAUGGCGUAAUGAUGGCCAGGCUGUCUCCACCCGAGACUCAGUGAAAUUGAACUCGCUGUGAAGAUGCAGUGUACCCGCGGCAAGACGGAAAGACCCCGUGAACCUUUACUAUAGCUUGACACUGAACAUUGAGCCUUGAUGUGUAGGAUAGGUGGGAGGCUUUGAAGUGUGGACGCCAGUCUGCAUGGAGCCGACCUUGAAAUACCACCCUUUAAUGUUUGAUGUUCUAACGUGGACCCGUUACCCGGGUUGCGGACAGUGUCUGGUGGGUAGUUUGACUGGGGCGGUCUCCUCCUAAAGAGUAACGGAGGAGCACGAAGGUUGGCUAAUCCUGGUCGGACAUCAGGAGGUUAGUGCAAUGGCAUAAGCCAGCUUGACUGCGAGCGUGACGGCGCGAGCAGGUGCGAAAGCAGGUCAUAGUGAUCCGGUGGUUCUGAAUGGAAGGGCCAUCGCUCAACGGAUAAAAGGUACUCCGGGGAUAACAGGCUGAUACCGCCCAAGAGUUCAUAUCGACGGCGGUGUUUGGCACCUCGAUGUCGGCUCAUCACAUCCUGGGGCUGAAGUAGGUCCCAAGGGUAUGGCUGUUCGCCAUUUAAAGUGGUACGCGAGCUGGGUUUAGAACGUCGUGAGACAGUUCGGUCCCUAUCUGCCGUGGGCGCUGGAGAACUGAGGGGGGCUGCUCCUAGUACGAGAGGACCGGAGUGGACGCAUCACUGGUGUUCGGGUUGUCAUGCCAAUGGCACUGCCCGGUAGCUAAAUGCGGAAGAGAUAAGUGCUGAAAGCAUCUAAGCACGAAACUUGCCCCGAG
Molecule: ribosomal RNA, 1483 nt
Filed under: Salmonella enterica
Lineage: Bacteria; Pseudomonadati; Pseudomonadota; Gammaproteobacteria; Enterobacterales; Enterobacteriaceae
Description: partial 23S ribosomal RNA
Rfam family: Bacterial large subunit ribosomal RNA
Source: RNAcentral